CAGAUGGAGACUUGUUUCCUCUAACUUCUGAAAACUCUGGGGGAAAGGUGCCGGUACUCACCCAUGAAGUUGUUACAAAAACCUGCAUAAGGACUCUAUACGGGCUCUUGGAUACCCGAUAAGGGAUAAAGGAGCAGUUUUUUCUUAUAACAGUUUGGCGAGCCAGCCAGGAGUUUCGGUUGACCGGAUUCUGGGGGCAAGGAAGGACUGGUGGCCCAGUGCGCACCAAGCCUUUGCCAGGAGGAGCUACUAGUCCUCCAGUGAUCCCAGGGUCUGGAAAUAACUGGCGUUCCAGCGAGGUCAACCAGAGGAAGCAACGCUUGAUUGGGCCGGCCUAAAACAACCGGUCAGAGAUCCCAGGAUCACCAGGAACAGCACAUGUGGAACUGAGUAUAACUUGCAUGGGGAAAGGGUAGCAGGCGGGUUCUCUCAACCCACAGCAGCUGAAUAUUCUCCCUGCACUAUCCUUUUCUAGUCUUACUUUUUUUGCGGACUUGGUAUUGGCUUAGCCAAAGGUAUAGAGAGAAAGCCAAGUCUGGAAGGGAAGGGGUCUCCUGCGUUGUAAAUGUCACUUGUGAGAAGAGAACCCUUGGGGCAACAGUCUCCUGCAUUGUAAAAGUCAAUGUUAGAGGAGAGACAACCCCAUGCUUGUUCCUGUCAACCUGACAGCAAGGAAUCUGAGCUCUGUUUUCUCUUGAUGCCAGGUUGGCUCUAACCAUUGGGCCAAUUUUGGUAGCAAAUAUUGCAUUUCUUCUGUUUCCAUUUCCCCUGUCCUAUCCCCCCUUGGACGUAGCCUAAGGACAUCCUUUUCCUAAUUUCCUCUGUACCAUCAUUAGACCUUUCUGCCCUUGGCAUCCAAAUUGCAAGAUGGUCCUUUCUGUAGCAGGAAACAGUUGCUGUGGGCUCCCUGGCUGUUGAAUGUCCAUAUAGAAGGGGAAUAAGGGAAAAAACCCAUGCCGCUGACAGCUUAGUAGCUAGGAGAAAGCUAACAGCUGUGACCACUCAGUAGCUAGUAUACAACGAACAGUUGGUUAUUUGAUUAGCUGGAAGGAUACCGACUGGAAGGACCACUAGGUCCUGAAGUUAUUGUUUCCUAGUUUAGGGGAGUACCUGCCUGCAGUCAAAAGUCCAAUACCAGGUGCCUUAAAGAACCAUUGUUGUUGUUUAGUCGUUUAGUCGUGUCCGACUCUUCGUGACCCCAUGGACCAGAGCACGCCAGGCACUUCUGUCUUCCACUACCUCCCGCAGUUUGGUCAAACUCAUGCUGGUAGCUUCAAGAACACUAUCCAACCAUCUCGUCCUCUGUCGUCCCCUUCUCCUUGUGCCCUCCAUCUUUCCCAACAUCAGGGUCUUUUCCAGGGAGUCUUCUCUUCUCAUGAGGUGGACAAAGUAUUGGAGCCUCAGCUUCAGGAUCUGUCCUUCCAGCGAGCACUC
Molecule: long non-coding RNA, 1434 nt
Organism: Podarcis raffonei (Aeolian wall lizard)
Lineage: Eukaryota; Metazoa; Chordata; Lepidosauria; Squamata; Lacertidae
Exons: 3
Source: RefSeq, a predicted model, not a curated record